This is an RNA transcript of Hemicordylus capensis (graceful crag lizard), 1596 nucleotides long. RefSeq lists it as uncharacterized. The record is from RefSeq and is a predicted model, not a curated record. The transcript is spliced from 3 exons. Lineage: Eukaryota; Metazoa; Chordata; Lepidosauria; Squamata; Cordylidae.
UCUGGGGACCCACACGUUGAGAAACCCUGCUCUACAGGAUCCCCACUGGGACAAACUUUAAAACAAAAGAUAAAGGAUACUAGAUAGAAUAUAACACAUGACUAAGUUUAAUCCCCUCUGUUUAGCCCCCAAGCCCCCUUCCCACCUGCCUACCUUCCUUCCCUCCCCUUCCACUCCUGGAGACUCAUAUUUGAGCCAAGCAGUAGGAGAUACCCAAAUGCAUAUUUCCAAACCCAGAAGUACAAGAUUGGGAUCACAUCAAUAUGAAACAGGUUCUCUGCAAUCUCCUGUGGCAGUUCCUCUGAAGAAACUGGGCUAGCCUAGUUGUCCCCAAGAAAAAGACUCUUGACUCAAACAUGUUAGGCCUUCCUCUUUUCUUUCUUACCGUCCCUUCUGUUUUUUUGAUGAGCUCCAAAUCUAGGACAAUACUGCAGACGGGGGCACACCUUGGUAAUUGUGGCACCUGGACUGCCCCCACCGUGAGCCCCCCUGCCGUGAGCCCCCCCCCCACUGUGAACCGCCCCAGCCACCACCCCUCAGAUGCGAACAUGGUGGCUUUAAUUAUGGGGGGGAGAGGUACGGCAUGCGGGACAGUGGCAGGGCAGGUGUGGGUGGCUGUAGGAGGGCCCCCUCAGCCAUUUGGAGGCCCCCUGGACCUUGGAGGCCACAGACCGGAGCCCCAAGGUCUGGAGAAGAGUCAUUCUCAUGGUUGUGUGAGAGAAAGAACAACGUGUUCUAAGAUGGCACCUACUCCACUCACCCUCUGGUUUUUUUGUGAGAUGUAUUCUAAUCUGUGUUGAGGAGCUGCAGUAGUAAAGGAGCCGGCAGAAGGGAUGUCUUCUCGAGUUUGGUUCUUGCUCACUGAUUUAGUAUUCAGAAUUUAGAAUUUAUGGAGAAGUCUUCCAUUGUCACAUCAUCUAUCAGAGACAGACACCAGAGAGAUGGAAGUGGGGGAAAAAUUAAAAACCUGUUUAUUGCUCAAGUUGCUCUAGGCAUCUUUUAGUUUAUUGUUCAGCUCAGUUCAUUCCAGCGUUUCAAUUUGAAUGGCUCACUUAUUUGCUGUGGCUAAAAAAAACAAAACAAAAAACUAAAUUAAAAACCAUAAGGAAACCUAUUUAAGAAAAGGGGGAAAACUUAAGAGUUGUGGGGUGCCAACACCACCUCGUCAUGUUAUGAGGUGUCAGAGGAUAAUUUAAGGGCCUAGCGGAUCUUGCCUUCAAAGGAGAUGCUCAAUCGAGCAUUCCUCCGGCAUCUGACACCCCGAGUGUGUCGGAGUUAGGAGGAGGAGCUUCCUGUAGAAGAGAUCCGCAAUGCAGAUGAAGAGACCCAAGUUGGGUGCCUGGAUUUGCUAAUGCUUGGCAAGUAUAAACAAAUAGCAGCAACCACAUUUUAUAGUCACUUUCUCUUGAUUCCAUCAACCCUUGUUCCUUCCACCUCUUUUCCAAAAUAGUAAGUUGAUAGGAGGUUGGGGGAAUGUCAUGGCAGUGAGUAGUGCCAAAGUGCAGGUACUCUCUGUAGAAUCCAGAGGGAAAGGUUGUGGUAUGCAAGGAUGAGGCAGUGGAGUUGAAUCAGGAAUGCGAAUGCUUUAAUGAGACA